UUGAUGUCUCAAACAAACGUCAGCACCUUUACAAGGAGCACAUUGACAAGUGGAGGAGACAAGCAAGUGGGUUGGAGAAGACAUCUGCCUCCAACAUUCUGAUGUACCUCGAGGACCUGCGACUGGAGCUUUCCUAGGACUGCAAGCAGUGCAGCAUAAGAUACACAUUUCCCUGUCUCUACAAGGCCUUUUUAUUUGGUCUAGAUACACAUCUCCAAUCCUUGUUUUGAGGAUCAAAUCUCCAUCUCCUGCGUGCUCAAGGAAACCCUGUCAGCGUGAUGAAGUAUCAGCAUCACUCAGCAGCACCUGUUCAGCAGCCAGUGUUUGGGCUUGGCCCAUCACAGCACUGGUUUAUCCUUUUUUAAAUCUAAUCCUCUGUACAUCUCCCCUGGUCGUCAUGGAAAUCUGGACUGACUGAACUGGAUCCUUAUUUCCAAAUGUGGAUAUUGCACAACCAGACACUGAUUUUCAGAGAGGGUUCACCACCUUUUUUUUAUCAAUACUGGGUUGGAGAGCCCUUGAGAUAAACAUGAGAGGUGCAGUCACAGAGAGAAGUGCUUGUUGAUGAACACAUUGUUGUAUUCCCCAGCUGUAAUCAGGACACAGUUUCCUCUCCAGAAGUUCACCAACAGCAAGGAUCAACA
Sturnus vulgaris (Common starling) is the source of this 644-nucleotide non-coding RNA. NCBI's taxonomy places the organism in Eukaryota, Metazoa, Chordata, Aves, Passeriformes, Sturnidae. The record is from RefSeq and is a predicted model, not a curated record.